This 800-nucleotide ribosomal RNA is filed under the name uncultured bacterium. RNAcentral's name for it is "bacterial SSU rRNA". It matches the Rfam family "Bacterial small subunit ribosomal RNA", at positions 79 to 875 of the family's 1533-position model. The record is from RNAcentral.
CUUGCUUCUCUUGAGAGCGGCGGACGGGUGAGUAAUGCCUAGGAAUCUGCCUAGUGGUGGGGGAUAACGUUCGGAAACGGACGCUAAUACCGCAUACGUCCUACGGGAGAAAGCAGGGGAUCUUCGGACCUCGCGCCAUUAGAUGAGCCUAGGUCGGAUUAGCUAGUUGGUGAGGUAAUGGCUCACCAAGGCGACGAUCCGUAACUGGUCUGAGAGGAUGAUCAGUCACACUGGAACUGAGACACGGUCCAGACUCCUACGGGAGGCAGCAGUGGGGAAUAUUGGACAAUGGGCGAAAGCCUGAUCCAGCCAUGCCGCGUGUGUGAAGAAGGUCUUCGGAUUGUAAAGCACUUUAAGUUGGGAGGAAGGGUAGUAACCUAAUACGUUGCUACUUUGACGUUACCGACAGAAUAAGCACCGGCUAACUUCGUGCCAGCAGCCGCGGUAAUACGAAGGGUGCAAGCGUUAAUCGGAAUUACUGGGCGUAAAGCGCGCGUAGGUGGUUCAGUAAGUUGGAAGUGAAAUCCCCGGGCUCAACCUGGGAACUGCUUUCAAAACUGCUGAGCUAGAGUACGGUAGAGGGUGGUGGAAUUUCCUGUGUAGCGGUGAAAUGCGUAGAUAUAGGAAGGAACACCAGUGGCGAAGGCGACCACCUGGACUGAUACUGACACUGAGGUGCGAAAGCGUGGGGAGCAAACAGGAUUAGAUACCCUGGUAGUCCACGCCGUAAACGAUGUCAACUAGCCGUUGGAAUCCUUGAGAUUUUAGUGGCGCAGCUAACGCAUUAAGUUGACCGCCUG